This 253-nucleotide ribosomal RNA is filed under the name uncultured bacterium. RNAcentral describes it as "partial 16S ribosomal RNA". It matches the Rfam family "Bacterial small subunit ribosomal RNA", at positions 524 to 776 of the family's 1533-position model. The record is from RNAcentral.
UACGUAGGGUGCAAGCGUUGUCCGGAAUUAUUGGGCGUAAAGAGCUCGUAGGUGGUCUGUUGCGUCCGCUGUGAAAACCCGGGGCUUAACCCUGGGCUGGCAGUGGAUACGGACAGACUAGAGGUAGGUAGGGGAGAAUGGAAUUCCCGGUGUAGCGGUGAAAUGCGCAGAUAUCGGGAGGAACACCGGUGGCGAAGGCGGUUCUCUGGGCCUUACCUGACGCUGAGGAGCGAAAGCGUGGGGAGCGAACAGG